This 1001-nucleotide ribosomal RNA is filed under the name Salmonella enterica subsp. enterica serovar Muenchen. RNAcentral's name for it is "partial 23S ribosomal RNA". It matches the Rfam family "Bacterial large subunit ribosomal RNA", at positions 1182 to 2141 of the family's 2925-position model. The record is from RNAcentral. Lineage: Bacteria; Pseudomonadati; Pseudomonadota; Gammaproteobacteria; Enterobacterales; Enterobacteriaceae.
ACGAUUGACGGAGCGAAGCGACGUCAAAGCGUUCAUUAAAGUCGAGUUGGCUUAGGGAUACGUUCGUUGGGUAGGGGAGCGUUCUGUAAGCCUGUGAAGGUGGCCUGUGAGGGUUGCUGGAGGUAUCAGAAGUGCGAAUGCUGACAUAAGUAACGAUAAAGCGGGUGAAAAGCCCGCUCGCCGGAAGACCAAGGGUUCCUGUCCAACGUUAAUCGGGGCAGGGUGAGUCGACCCCUAAGGCGAGGCCGAAAGGCGUAGUCGAUGGGAAACGGGUUAAUAUUCCCGUACUUGGUGUUACUGCGAAGGGGGGACGGAGAAGGCUAUGUUGGCCGGGCGACGGUUGUCCCGGUUUAAGCGUGUAGGUGUGUGUUCCAGGUAAAUCCGGUUCACUUUAACACUGAGGCGUGACGACGAGGCACUACGGUGCUGAAGCAACAAAUGCCCUGCUUCCAGGAAAAGCCUCUAAGCAUCAGGUAACAUCAAAUCGUACCCCAAACCGACACAGGUGGUCAGGUAGAGAAUACCAAGGCGCUUGAGAGAACUCGGGUGAAGGAACUAGGCAAAAUGGUGCCGUAACUUCGGGAGAAGGCACGCUGAUAUGUAGGUGAAGCGGUUUACCCGUGGAGCUGAAAUCAGUCGAAGAUACCAGCUGGCUGCAACUGUUUAUUAAAAACACAGCACUGUGCAAACACGAAAGUGGACGUAUACGGUGUGACGCCUGCCCGGUGCCGGAAGGUUAAUUGAUGGGGUCAGCGCAAGCGAAGCUCCUGAUCGAAGCCCCGGUAAACGGCGGCCGUAACUAUAACGGUCCUAAGGUAGCGAAAUUCCUUGUCGGGUAAGUUCCGACCUGCACGAAUGGCGUAAUGAUGGCCAGGCUGUCUCCACCCGAGACUCAGUGAAAUUGAACUCGCUGUGAAGAUGCAGUGUACCCGCGGCAAGACGGAAAGACCCCGUGAACCUUUACUAUAGCUUGACACUGAACAUUGAGCCUUGAUGUGUAG